AUCCCUGCUGUCGUGGUUCUGGCUGUGGUGCUUUAUCUUCUGGGAAAGAAAGGAGGAAAUGUGUCCAUGUAUCCGAUCACAUUGUCUAACUGCCUUCCAGUUGCGUCUCUACUGCGGGAUCAAAAGGAACAAGCCCAGCGUGACACCAGCAACACUUCUGAAGAUUAUAUUGAAUGUGCCUCGGUGGAUUGGCUGGGAAGCUCCAAGCAACCACCACCCCAGACAGAAGAGACGUCGACAUACAUGAACAUGGAUCUGCAGCGGGACAGAUGUCAUUAAUGCUCCAAUUGCUGUAAUGCAGAACUUGUCAAUGCGCAGCCACAUCACAGAACCUCCCAAAAUCAGAGGCAACUGUAGCCCAGGCUGUACAUCAAGGACAUGGGGGACUUUCUCUGGAGUCACAGCUGGACCUUGCACAGUGACCUGAA
Trachemys scripta elegans is the source of this 428-nucleotide long non-coding RNA. RefSeq lists it as uncharacterized. The transcript is spliced from 5 exons. The record is from RefSeq and is a predicted model, not a curated record. Lineage: Eukaryota; Metazoa; Chordata; Testudines; Emydidae.